This is a long non-coding RNA of Magnolia sinica, 598 nucleotides long. RefSeq lists it as uncharacterized. The transcript is spliced from 3 exons. The record is from RefSeq and is a predicted model, not a curated record. NCBI's taxonomy places the organism in Eukaryota, Viridiplantae, Streptophyta, Magnoliopsida, Magnoliales, Magnoliaceae.
GUCUCAAGGUCAAGCCCCUAGCAGCUUUGGCUAUGAUUGAUGAGGGGGAGCUUGAUUGGAAAAUAGUUGCAAUAUCGUUGGAUGAUCCGAGAGCUUCGCUCGUGAACGAUGUUGUCGAUGUUGAGAAACAUUUUCCGGGAACUCUCACUGCAAUUUGGGACUAGUUUAGAGAUUACAAGAUUCCAAAUGGAAAGCCUGCUAAUAAAUUUGGUCUUGGCAACAAGGCGGCCAACAAGGUAUAUCUACUUUUGGUCAUUGCAGAGACGAAUGAAGCUUGGGCUAAGCUGGUAAAGAGGUCAAUUCCUUCUGGAGAGUUGUCACUGGUGUAGAUGUGAUUUGUAGAGUUUGAACUGUAAACUGUGCCCUUCACAACAGGCUGUAGAUUUUCGGGAGGCAUUGGUAAUGUAUCUAUCGACCAAUUGAGUUGAUUGUUCCUUUUUUUUUUUUUUCUAGUUUCAUGGUCGAAUUUCAGUCGAAAGUUGCUCGAGCUAUGAGGACCUAUUUGCUUUGGCUAUUAAUUUAAAACUUUAGCAUUGUGAUAUGAUUGGAUGGGUCAUGUUAUUGACAUCUAUGAAAGGAUCUGCAGCAAAUUAGCUCA